GCUUGUGGCUUAGUGGAAAGUAGCGUGUGGAGCAUUUAAGGGGAGGCAUGGGUUCGAAUCCCAUGGCAAGCA
Gossypium hirsutum (cotton) is the source of this 72-nucleotide non-coding RNA. The record is from Rfam. Lineage: Eukaryota; Viridiplantae; Streptophyta; Magnoliopsida; Malvales; Malvaceae.